This 455-nucleotide ribosomal RNA is filed under the name uncultured bacterium. Its description in RNAcentral is "bacterial SSU rRNA". It matches the Rfam family "Bacterial small subunit ribosomal RNA", at positions 923 to 1379 of the family's 1533-position model. The record is from RNAcentral.
GCACAAGCGGUGGAGCAUGUGGUUUAAUUCGACGCAACGCGAAGAACCUUACCCAGGCUCGAACGGUAGAUGACAUCCUACGAAAGUAGGCUCCCGCAAGGGCAUCUAUCGAGGUGCUGCAUGGCUGUCGUCAGCUCGUGUCGUGAGAUGUUGGGUUAAGUCCCGCAACGAGCGCAACCCUUGUCUUCUGUUGCCAUCGGGUUAUGCCGGGCACUCUGAAGAGACUGCCGGUGACAGACCGGAGGAAGGUGGGGAUGACGUCAAGUCAGCAUGGCCUUUAUGUCUGGGGCCACACACGUGCUACAAUGGCCGGUACAAACCGUCGCGAUGCCGUAAGGUGGAGCUAAUCGGAGAAAGCCGGUCUCAGUUCGGAUUGUAGGCUGCAACUCGCCUGCAUGAAGUUGGAAUCGCUAGUAAUCGCGGAUCAGCACGCCGCGGUGAAUACGUUCCCGGGC